This 451-nucleotide ribosomal RNA is filed under the name uncultured bacterium. RNAcentral's name for it is "bacterial SSU rRNA". It matches the Rfam family "Bacterial small subunit ribosomal RNA", at positions 28 to 480 of the family's 1533-position model. The record is from RNAcentral.
GAUGAACGCUAGCGGCAGGCCUAACACAUGCAAGUCGAGGGAGAAGCCCUUUCGGGGGCAGAAACCGGCGCACGGGUGCGUAACGCGUAUGCAACCUACCUUUCACAGGGGGAUAGCCCGAAGAAAUUUGGAUUAAUACCCCAUAAUAUUAUUGGAUGGCAUCAUUUGAUAAUUAAAACUGCGGUGGUGAAAGAUGGGCAUGCGUCCUAUUAGCCAGUUGGAGUGGUAACGGCACCCCAAGGCUACGAUAGGUAGGGGUCCUGAGAGGGAGAUCCCCCACACUGGUACUGAGACAGGGACCAGACUCCUACGGGAGGCAGCAGUGAGGAAUAUUGGUCAAUGGUCGGAAGACUGAACCAGCCAUGCCGCGUGCAGGAAGAAUGCCUUAUGGGUUGUAAACUGCUUUUAUAUGGGAAGAAUAAGGCGUACGUGUACGUNGANGACGNUNCCA